RNAcentral lists this long non-coding RNA (2261 nucleotides) under Triticum aestivum (bread wheat). Its description in RNAcentral is "long non-coding RNA (TAES_LNC027274)". Lineage: Eukaryota; Viridiplantae; Streptophyta; Magnoliopsida; Poales; Poaceae. The record is from RNAcentral.
UACAUUGAUGCAUCUUCUCAAUUGCAACCUAAUCAAACUGCUGAACUACAUCUUCCAUAUAUAGCUCAUUAAGGAGUUUGAAGAAUAUUUCCUUGUGACUUAUAGUGGUGAGUAUAGUAGAAUAAUGCGGACCACAUGUACAAAUAAGAGAAUAAGGAAGAGAAAUACACAAUGUAUAACCAAGGAUAAUGAAAGAAAGCUAAACGAUAAUUACCCCAAACAAACUCUCACCUAGCUAAUCUCCCAAAAUAUAAAAGGCAUCAUAAAAUAUUCAUAAGAAACAAACAAUCAACUGAUAAAGAAAGACGUAAUCUAAAUCACCAAAACAAAUCAAAUACUUCAAAAAAAUUAGGGCAUAUAAAAUUUAGCUAUGAUGAUAAAGGCCAUACUAAAAAUCUGAAUAUACAACACAUGUGUGACCAUCUCUUCAAGAGAACAACACAAAAGGGAGAUAAAACCGGUAGAUGGUACGCAUGAGCCCAAAACAGGCAGUAUUUCAUAUCCUUACUCCUAAUACCAUAUCGGCAUGCAGUAGGUUAGGCAGUGAAAGGAUACAUGAAAGAAAAAAUUAUGAGCCAACAAAUACAAUAAAAACGGAAUUACUAUAAGACCAUGUGACUUGUUGCACAUAUAGAAAUAAGAAAACUGAGAAAAAGAAAUGUGGUUAUAUCAGGAGAGAUAUCUUGGACUACCCAUUUGCUUUGCAUGGUGGCGAUAGCAAGAUCGUACAAUAAAAAAUAUAAAUAAAUAUUGGUGAUUCCCAAAAAUUAUACAAUGUAGAAUCAUUACGAAAAUAAACAUAAUAGGCAUCUCAGGUUGUAGAAUCGAUGGCAAAUUGUUGUGUUGGAAUAUGUUGCUAGCUUACAAACAUAAAAUAAAAAGAGGAGCCAGUUCUUGUGACAAAUUAGAAGUUUGUCCUUGAAGAACCAAAUAAAAAAUUUAGUAGCCUUUGUGAAAUUUUUCACGCACCGCCGCUUCACUUGCUUCCCUUCAAACUUGGUCGUACACCUGCAGAUAAAUAACCAUAGAAUACUCAACUGAAAAUAAUUGCUAAUGGAAUCAAAAUAGAAAUAAUAAUAAGCCACAAAAUAAUUAAGGGAAAGAUAAAUAGAACACACCUAGAGUUGUUGAAUUGGUACUAUAAGGUGGGAGAUUUGGUAGUGCUCACUAUUGUAAGGAAAAUGUUGGCCCAAAUAAAUUAGAUCAUACCAUUUUCAGCAAAAAGAUUUACGCUGCGUUUGGAUGUCUGUAUCGGAGGCCUCCGUAUUGAAUUAGUUUCAAUUCCAAUUCGGUGAGGAAACUGUAAUGGACACGAAUACGAAUUCAUUUGUUUGGAUGCUCAUGGAAUUGGCUCAUGGAAUCUCAAGGAGGUUUCAAUACCAAAUCAUGUUUGGAUGGCAAACUAUGGAAUUGCAUCUUCUUUGCAUCAAAUCAAAAUUUAUACAAUGUGUGAGUAUAAUUGAAUGAUUAUGUAGCAGUAAAAUUAACAAAUAUUUUUAGAAAUGCAUGUGACACCCGUUUGGAUGGCAAACUAUGAAAUAUUUUAGAAAUUACUAACAAUAAUAAGUGCUACAACAACAACUUUUCAAAAUAAAGUGCUCUGAUGUACCGUGCUUCAAAAAUCCAAACUUGGGCCUUUUUGUGUAAUUAUAGAUCCAACUGGUAAACCUCCCCGACAACAAAAUCUACUUAUCUAAGUACUCUAGCAUUCCUCAUAGGGCCUGGAACUUCAUCGAUCUUGUGUAACUAAUAUUUGGCCUGGGCAGAUUACAAGUAAGUAACUAUUGUACUUAUCAGAUAAAUUUACAAGAGUUACACUGCAUCAACAGUAGAAUUUACAAGAUUCAGAAACUUCAAAGCAAAGCCAGGGAAGAACAAAGGGUGGACGAGGGGGAUCCGGCAGCUGACCACAAAGAGGAUAUGGGGAACCGGCAGCACAGGAGGAGGGGUCCGGUGGGAGGCACGCCGGAGCACGGGAAGAGGAGGAGGAGCGGCGGCGGACGGGGAGUGACAGGACAUGGCGGCCAUGGGCAGGGGAGAUGCGGCAACCCUCUGUUCAUGGGGUGGCAGAGGAGAUGGCGAGGGGAUGAGGAGAAGGUUCGGCGGAGGGAUUGAGGAGGAGUAAUGGUGACGGGGAUGAGAAGGAGGGCCAACAAGGGAGGUUACCUGGCGGCGCCGUCGGGGUGUUCCUCGGCGUCGCCUCCUCUAGGCGCGCGGGGUGGGGACGGCUGCUUCGGUCAAAGCGGGGGAUAAAAGACGGG